This 131-nucleotide ribosomal RNA is filed under the name Mandrillus leucophaeus (drill). Lineage: Eukaryota; Metazoa; Chordata; Mammalia; Primates; Cercopithecidae. The record is from RNAcentral.
GCCCUUGGUGCUACCAGGCGCCCCAUGCCAUCAUCUAAGAGCAUAACACCCUGAUCUCGGAAGUUAAGCAGGGCCAGGCCUGGCCAGUACUGUGAUGGGAAACCGCCUGGGAAUACUGGGUGCUGUAGGCU